This is a non-coding RNA of Oryctolagus cuniculus (rabbit), 2416 nucleotides long. NCBI's taxonomy places the organism in Eukaryota, Metazoa, Chordata, Mammalia, Lagomorpha, Leporidae. The record is from RefSeq and is a predicted model, not a curated record.
UGCUCAUGGAUCUUUAUUGAGCUUCAGUGAGGGGAGGGUGCAGUAUUUAGCCCUGGAAGAGCACAGCAUAGGAGUCUUGGUCCCACAGGGAAGCCAAAUACCACAAACCUCCCAAUGACAAUCCCUCUCCCAUGGCAGCAUAUGCCUGCAGUAUACUUGAGAGCAGAUGAGGAUCAGAUCGCUGCUAAAAAUGCAGAGACCGAUGGGGUGCUCAGCACCAGGAGUCUUGAUCAGGGACGCCUUUCAGGGGGAGUAGAGUGAGAAGACAGGAAACCACACAGCAGGGCAGGGCGAGGGUGAGGCAAGGGACACAUUUGUCUCUGGUGCAAAUCUAAGGGUGUACCAAAAACAUAGUGCUCAAGGCUGUGAGAUGGCUUCACUGAAGAGACUUCAAGUGGGGAAGGAGAGCACCUGAACUUAGCAUUGGUGAUCACCAGAAAGGAAUACAACAUGAAAGAGUAACAUAUUCAAAAGGUAUAGAAUAAGGGAAAAUGGAAGGGAAGGCUGGGAAUAAUACGAGGGGCCUUCAGGAAGAAGUUUUUGGAAAAUGGAAUCAAGAGGUAAGUUUGCUUUGGUGCAAACAAUUUUUAAAAUUCAUGCAUAGUUUAUUUUCAUAAGACACAUUUUUCCAUGAACUUUUUUGAGGAUCUUUCAACCACUGAUUCCCAAGUUGCUCUGCCAGGGAUACUUAUGGGGUAGAUUUAGGAUGGACCCCGUUGUCUCAAGGGUGGUAGGGCGUUUGGACAACUAAAGUCUAACAAAUCAACAGGAGGACUUGGGGGAAAUGUUCUAUGUGAGUGGACACUCUUUCAUGGGAGGUAUUCCUUGGGACGUUGCUAGGAUGAGACUAUAAUCUUUGUAACACACGAGGCUGGAAGAUUCUUCGGGAACCCACCUUCUCUUUAUUUUGACUUGGAGUUGCAUGCCUUUGCCUUCCUGUAACCCUCCAAAAUUGUUUUGUGCUGAUUUUCUCCUGAUGAGCCCCACCUUGCUCUGUAGCCCCAGCACCGACUCCCCAAGAGCCUCCUUGGGGAAGUGAACGGGUGGUGGGAAUGUCACCGCAAAGGUCACUUCUCUGGUUAACUAAUGGCCGUCUGGCAUCUGGCAAGGGGGAUGCAGGUCACAAAUGUCUCCAUGCUGGGCCCGUCACUAUUCAGAGAGAACAGUGGAGGGAUCAGAGGGUCCCCACCCCCUCCCCGAGGCCACACAUCUUUGUCUCCCACACAAGGCUCCACUUGUGCUUUCAGUAGCAAAACCUUGACAUACUUAAUGUCUUAAGAAAUCUGCGCCUAUCUGCCCAAAUGCAAGGUCCCUUUGUGCAGCCUCGCCGGUGCCUGGUCAUCAGCAAGCAGCAACCUCUUGACUCCGCCAGACUUUGAAAGGUUCAGCUAAACUGUCCACACGGCCGCAAAGAGCUCUUGGCUGCAACUUGUCUCCAGCCGCCCUGGGAGCAGAAAGACCUUCGUGGGCCAGACGCGGGGUCACAGAGUCAAAAAAGCUCUGGGGGCAGCCGCCCUUUCUUCAGAAUCAGACAGGCUGACCAGCAAACCUGAAUGCCUCCCCGGACUCUGCUAAUAAAUCAGUGAGCAGCAGCAGGGGCGCCGCACGGGUGCCGAAACAUGAGCGCAGACUUUCAAGCAAAGCAUUUCAAAGUUUUGCUUUUGCCCCCAGUGGAACCAGAAGUCCCAGAGCAGGGGGGGAAAGCCUAACUCUAUCAAGGAGGGGAAUUUGGGGUUGCCAGCCUCACAAUUCUGUUAACCACCGUGAUUCUCCCCAGAUGUUCUUUCUUAAAUGCAAAAGCAACAUUUUCUUGCCAAGAAAUGGCACGAUUGAUCAAGCCUUCCUUAAAUCAUUUCAUCUUAUCCACUCUCGUCUGAAGGAGCAGAUAUUGCAUUAAUAUUAAUUUUCGGGUUGGCUCCCUUGAGAGAGAAAUGCCCCCAGUAACCCCCUUCCAAUUACUGCCACCACCGCGGGGAUGUGAAUUUAGAGGAGGAAGCUACCGAGGCAGGGGCUGCAGUUGUUUUAUUAGCAACAGCUGGUGCCAGUCCUCUGCCUGAUUCUUUCUUUUUUCUUCUUUUUCUUCUUCUCCUUUUUUUUUUUUUUUAAAUGCUAUGCUUGUCAGAUCCAGCUUCUCGAGACUGGAUGGCAAAGGGUAAGACAAGAACACGGCGUAUUUCAGCUUUUGCAUGCAGAAAAGGAGCUUUAUGCUAAACAGGGUGCAGGCAGCGUUUCGAAGCUGAUUAAGAAACUUUACAUAAGAGUUUUGCUCUCAAUAUUGCGUAGGUAACACUUGAGCAAUUAGACAAACACAUUAAGCCACUGAAACCACCUGUAAGAUUUGAAAAAAAAAAAUCCUGUUGUCUUCCCUUCUCAUUUGCUCAAGAUGCUUGAAUAGCCAGGAAAAUGUGGGCUGCAC